Molecule: long non-coding RNA, 348 nt
Organism: Symphalangus syndactylus (siamang)
Lineage: Eukaryota; Metazoa; Chordata; Mammalia; Primates; Hylobatidae
Source: RefSeq, a predicted model, not a curated record
AUUUUCAAAUAUUUGUCUUGAAUGUCAAGUUUAACUCUUUGGUGCUGUGCUAAAGACAAGACUGUAGCAAUUAAAAAAGUGUUCAGAUAACCACCUACAAGAAGACAAAAGGCUCAGCCUUGAAUUGAAAAGAUUAAAGGACUAUGCACAUUUCAUCUGAAAAGAAUGGUUAUUUAAUGAUGAUUUUGAUAUACCAUGCAUGGUUGCUGCACAGAAAUUGGCCAAUCCCAUCCAGAAUACAGUAUGUUUGGUCUCCUGCCUCCUUAGGAGUUCUUGGCUGCUACAUUCUGUCCUGAUAUCCACCAAACUCCUAAACAACUUUAAAAAUAUCUGCACUCGUGAAGGUAU